CUGGCUCAGAACGAACGCUGGCGGCGUGCUUAACACAUGCAAGUCGAACGCGAAAGGGACUUCGGCCUGAGUAAAGUGGCGCACGGGUGAGUAACGCGUAGAUAACCUGUCUUUAUGUCUGGAAUAAUACGCCGAAAGGGGUACUAAUGCCGGAUAUUUUUGCAUUGCAUAAGCAGUGUAAGCAAAGGUGGCCUCUGACAUAAGCUACUGCAUAAAGAGGGGUCUGCGUACCAUUAGCUAGUAGGUGGGGUAAAGGCCUACCUAGGCUACGAUGGUUAGCGGGUCUGAGAGGAUGAUCCGCCACACUGGCACUGGAACACGGGCCAGACUCCUACGGGAGGCAGCAGUGAGGAAUAUUGCGCAAUGGGGGCAACCCUGACGCAGCGACGCCGCGUGAGUGAAGGAAGGCCUUCGGGUCGUAAAGCUCUGUCAAAGGGAAAGAAGUGCAUGGUGGUUAAUACCUGCCAUGUUUGACGGUACCCUUAAAGGAAGCACCGGCUAACUCCGUGCCAGCAGCUGC
RNAcentral lists this ribosomal RNA (520 nucleotides) under uncultured bacterium. RNAcentral describes it as "bacterial SSU rRNA". It matches the Rfam family "Bacterial small subunit ribosomal RNA", at positions 19 to 518 of the family's 1533-position model. The record is from RNAcentral.